This 86-nucleotide transfer RNA is filed under the name Citrobacter freundii. Its description in RNAcentral is "tRNA-Leu". It matches the Rfam family "tRNA". From Rfam's summary of the family: Transfer RNA (tRNA) molecules are approximately 80 nucleotides in length. The record is from RNAcentral. Lineage: Bacteria; Pseudomonadati; Pseudomonadota; Gammaproteobacteria; Enterobacterales; Enterobacteriaceae. RNAcentral also lists the same sequence under 5 other names.
GCGAAGGUGGCGGAAUUGGUAGACGCGCUAGCUUCAGGUGUUAGUGUCCUUAGGAUGUGGGGGUUCGAGCCCCCCCCCUCGCACCA